UGCGGAUCGAAGAAAAAAAAAGUCGCGGUGCAACCUCAGGGAGGUCGAAGGCGAGGAGGGUGAGGGUAAGGGGUGCGCAGGCGAGAACGAGAGCGUAAGGGGCAGUCGCCUUCUUCGAAAAAGAAAAAAAAAACAAGAGAAAAAAAACGGAAAGAGAAAAAAUAAUAUGGAUAUUUUGGUCAGUUUAUUAAAGUUGGAUCGAAUAUGAAAAAUUAAAAAAAUCGAUCUAGAAAAAGAAAAAUUAAAAAAAUCGGUCUAGAAAAAAAAAAGAAGAAAGAAGGGC
Molecule: long non-coding RNA, 283 nt
Filed under: Ananas comosus (pineapple)
Lineage: Eukaryota; Viridiplantae; Streptophyta; Magnoliopsida; Poales; Bromeliaceae
Description: long non-coding RNA (ACOM_LNC044256)
Source: RNAcentral